UCGGAGCCUUCGUCCUGCCACAGCUUGGCG
This 30-nucleotide non-coding RNA is filed under the name Rattus norvegicus (Norway rat). Lineage: Eukaryota; Metazoa; Chordata; Mammalia; Rodentia; Muridae. The record is from RNAcentral.